Small nuclear RNA from Dendrobium catenatum, 127 nucleotides. RefSeq annotates it as U11 spliceosomal RNA. Lineage: Eukaryota; Viridiplantae; Streptophyta; Magnoliopsida; Asparagales; Orchidaceae. The transcript has a single exon. The record is from RefSeq and is a predicted model, not a curated record.
CAGAAGGGUCGGUUGGCAAUGUAUGCCAAGCACAUCCUUUAAUUGAUGGGCACUGUAUGCUUAUCAAGACAUAUGACCGACAUAAGUUAUGGAUAAAAUAGGUUUGGCAUGCUCGACCAACCCUACU